UUUUAAGAAUGUGGAUAUUUGGGUCAUCUUUGGCGCCCCCUAGAACCUAAACCGUGGGGUGCAGCGUCAUGAUUUGUACAACUUUUAAUGGCCAUGGGGUGUAGAUUGGCCUGAGCAAAUGUGGUGCCGGUGGAACGAAUGCCUUCGGAGGAGUUAGCAAAAUUCCAAUGUGUGCAGAUCUGCAAAAAAUGCGAAAUAACCCUCUAACCGUACAUUUCACAGAUGCGCCCGCGCUGACUUUUUUGUAGACCGUAUUGAGAUACACGUGUGUGUCAAUUUUUGUGUCAUUUUGACAAAGCGUAUAGGCGUGACAGUCAACAAUGUGUUUUUUCACCUUAGGGGACAAGAAAAAAUGGACUUUUUUCUCCUGCCAUGGGGGGGCGCUCUUUUCGGGAGUAAAAAUUCCUUUACAAAUGUGUUGAUGGCUGGACAUUGCAUCAUCCUAGAAAACUUGGAGGCCAGUGAGGACAAAAAUAAAAAGUUAUAAGACUAUUAAGAAUGUGGAUUUUUGGGUUAUCUUUGGCGCCCCCUAGAACCUAAACCGUGGAGUGCAGCGUCAUGAUUUGUACAACUUUUAAUGGCCAUGGGGGUUAGAUUGGCCUGAGCAAAUUUGGUGCCGGUGGAACGAAAGCCUUCGGAGGAGUUAGCGAAAUUCCAAUGUGUGCGGAUCGGCAAAAAAUGCGAAAUAGCCCUUUAAACGUACAUUUGACAGAUACGCCCGCACUGACUUUUUUGUAGAUCUUAUUGAGAUACACGUGUGUGUCAAAUUUUGUGUCACUAUGACAAAGCGUACAGGCGUGACAGUCAAUAGUGUGAAUUUUCGCCUUAGGGGGCGCUAUGGAGCCAUUUUGCAUUUUAUUGUUUGGGCGACUUCAGAAUAUCGAAUUUUUCACCAGGCCCGGUCGUCCUGCCAAAUUUCAUGAGUUUUCGCCAGUGGGAAGUGGGCCAUUUUCCCCUUCAAAGGGGAGGAAAAAUAAGAAGAAAGAAAGAAAGAACUAGGACCCCGUUGGGGCACUGGCGGGCCCAAGCUGUGUCACGUCCCCCCCCCAACGCGCUGCCUCCCCGUCCCAUUUGUGUCCUCUGGCCAUCGCCCUCUUUGGUAACGCCCAUCACUGCAAAGACCCUUUUCCUUCAUCGGCGUUUGCUGUUCUUCCUGCCAGUGCGUGUUGCUUUCACUUACACUUGCCACAGCCAGCCUCGUGAGUGCCUAGCCUAUUGGAUAUCACUGUCACCUACACAGGACAGUCAUUACCUUUCUAUUAAUACUUUGCGUUUUAAUUUCACAUUAAUUUCCAAAUUGUAUAAACGACUGGAAAAAACUUGAGCCCCUGCCCCUGUAUAAUCAUGUGCACGUCUCUGUUCUAGCUCUAAGGUAAAUCUUCACUGCUCAUGUUCUCCUCAGAAGCAGUCACCUCACUCCCCUCAGGUUACUGUACACAUGCACCAACUGCCUGCUUCAGGUUUGGAUGGAGCUUCAUGGUUGUCUUUUGGAGAAAUGACCAGUCAAGUUGUGUUUGAAAUUUGAUUUUUUUCAGGGGCAAAAGGAGCCUCUGCAUUCUUGUCAAAUAUGUAAAUAGCAUGUUUUUGCAGGUGCUACAAACCAGACUCUGAGUGUGUGUGUGUGCGUGUGUGUGUGUGUCUGUGUGUGUGUGUGUGUGUGUGUGUGCGCGUUCAAGUCACAUGACAUAUUUAACCGGAUGUAGCUGCAAGACGGAGCCUCGUUGACUCUCCGUUUUAAUUUAUCUCAAAAGUGAGGACCUCAACCUAUAUACCAGUUUUUAAAUUGUGUUGAUAGGCCAAAUAAAACCAGAGUUAUGAUAAAUUAUGUCCGCGAUACUUGUUUUCUGCUUAUUUUGAUCACGUUCGGCGCUCGAUCGCGCUGUAUGAGACAGGAAAACAUAGCAUGCAGACAUUAGCGACAGGUCUUACAGGCGGAAAAGGCUUGCCAAAGGAAAAAAAAUACACACCACAACAUCUCUCCUAUUGGUGGAAAACUUCACCACAACAACCAAUCCAAAAUUAUAUGGUGACUGAUUGACAAGGGGCGGGCGCUUACGUUCUUCCUGCAAUAUGAGAAGGGAGGGAGGGACUCUCAGCAGGGAUGCAGUCUGGGACACGUAGUUGCAAACCUAGCGACUUUGUUGUAGAUUCAAUGACUUUUCAGACCCCCUAACGACUUUUUUUUUAGAAAGAAAGGGACUUUUAUCAACUUCUUCUGGAGUUUAGAAACUCUGACAUGAAGCAGGCUUUCCUUACUGAGGAGUUAGCAACGCUGCUAAGGGUGCAGAGACACACAUGAGCUCCGAGCUCUGCAUGGGAGACUGAAGCUGACAGGGCUGCAGCAGUUAGCAGGUUUCACCCUCAGAGACCACCAGGGGUUCAUGUUGAGGCAUUUUCAGUUUUUUUUUUUUUUUUUUGCCAUAGACACUGUCAGCACAAUCUGCAGUUACACUAACAAAAAAGCUGCAAAAAACAAAGAAUUAUGGAAAAAUUACACAUGGACUGACAUAGAGGAGGAUCUACACAAGUUUUUUACAUCAUGUUUUACAUCAUGCAUCAUUUACAUCAUGUUUUUUUGUAGUGGCAUAAAUAAAAAGUGACAUUUGUGAGACUAUACAGUGUUUUGUAAAUAAUUUUACAAAGAACGCCUGGGCCAUUGCCUGCAUUUUGAUGUAAAUAGAGGUAAAUUACUAUGUUCUUUGUUAAAAAUUUGCAUAUGUUUUGAAGUUUACAAUUUUUAUUUGAAGUUUAAGUUUUAAAAACAGUUCAUCACACAUAUUUGUGGUUUUCACAGUAAAAAUGUUACUUUUUUCCACUCGGAUUUUAUGUUUUGUGUGUGAAUUUGGGUCCAUUGUGUAAAUUCAGUAUGUCAACAUGAUAAAAUAACUGUAAAUUCGCACAGGUGAGGUUGUGCUGAAAAAAAUGAUACCAGGCAAGGCAAGGUAAAAAAUUUUUAAGAGGAAAUAUAAAGGUAAAAUCUAAAGUAGUCAAAAAAGGCCAAUAGUGACUCACAGACUCCACAGACUAGUCCCUUUGGCGCCACUCAGUGGGCAAAACUACUUUGUCUGCUGUAAUGUAUAUUUGGGUCAUCUUU
Molecule: long non-coding RNA, 3094 nt
Filed under: Xyrichtys novacula (pearly razorfish)
Lineage: Eukaryota; Metazoa; Chordata; Actinopteri; Labriformes; Labridae
Source: RNAcentral